CCUACGGGAGGCUGCAGUGAGGAAUAUUGGUCAAUGGGCGCGAGCCUGAACCAGCCAAGUCGCGUGAGGGAAGACGGUCCUAUGGAUUGUAAACCUCUUUUGUCGGGGAGCAAAAGACGCCACGCGUGGCGUUCCGAGAGUACCCGAAGAAAAAGCAUCGGCUAACUCCGUGCCAGCAGCCGCGGUAAUACGGAGGAUGCGAGCGUUAUCCGGAUUUAGUGGGGUUAAAGGGUGCGCAGGCGGAAGAGCAAGUCAGCGGUAAAAUUGAGAGGCUCAACCUCUUCGAGCCGUUGAAACUGGUUUUCUUGAGUGAGUGAGAAGUAUGCGGAAUGCGUGGUGUAGCGGUGAAAUGCAUAGAUAUCACGCAGAACUCCGAUUGCGAAGGCAGCAUACCGGCGCUCAACUGACGCUCAUGCACGAAAGUGUGGGUAUCGAACAGGAUUAGAUACCCCUGUAGUC
This 459-nucleotide ribosomal RNA is filed under the name uncultured bacterium. RNAcentral's name for it is "partial 16S ribosomal RNA". It matches the Rfam family "Bacterial small subunit ribosomal RNA", at positions 338 to 795 of the family's 1533-position model. The record is from RNAcentral.